RNAcentral lists this ribosomal RNA (121 nucleotides) under Prionitis crispata. Lineage: Eukaryota; Rhodophyta; Florideophyceae; Halymeniales; Halymeniaceae. The record is from RNAcentral.
ACAUUCGGCCAUACCAGGACGACAAAUACCCCAUCCCAUCUCGAACUGGGCAGUUAAGUCUCCUCGGGCGCGCUUAGUACUGAGGUCAGGGAUGACUCGGGAAUCGCGCGUGCUGAAUGUU